Long non-coding RNA from Apis dorsata (giant honeybee), 1021 nucleotides. RefSeq lists it as uncharacterized. The record is from RefSeq and is a predicted model, not a curated record. NCBI's taxonomy places the organism in Eukaryota, Metazoa, Arthropoda, Insecta, Hymenoptera, Apidae. The transcript is spliced from 3 exons.
UUUGUCAAACGAUAUUUAUUUUUUAUUUAAAUUAUAUUUCUGUUUCGAUUCAUCGCAUUCAAUGUACAAUAUUUCGUAUUAAUUAUGUCAAUUGAGAUUUACAAAUGACAGGAAAGACGUAAAAACAUUAAUUGUCUUAUAUUCUAAAUUUUAGGUUAAAACUCUACAAAAUUUUAGCCCAUUCGUUUAUUAAUGUUAAAACAAAUAUUUUCGUAGGAAAUAUUCUCGAAUUUAAUAAUGUACAAUGGUGAAUGAUGUGGUUGAUGUAUCAAAGAUAGAAUUUACAUAUGAGAUAUCUCUUUAUGCUGUUAAAUUGAUGAAAAAAUGUAUAAUACGUAUGGCUGAAAUUUAUAAGCAUUUUACUCAUCAUUAAGAAUGAAGAACAUCGAGGAAAAAGGUGGAAGUAAAGAAAAUCUAAGAGCGGUUUGUAAAAUUGCUAAGAGAAUCAAAUGUUCCAUAUACACAUAUAUGCUACUCCGUUUUCAGUGGUGUUACUUUUAAUAUCUUUAUCAGUAUGGCUUUGUAUAUGUCGGUGGGGAUUUCGAUAUAAUUUAAAAGAUCGAGAAAUUUUGUCCUGUUUAAUUUUGUACUUUAUUGUCAUCACUUUGUUGAAUAUGUUCUUUUUGGGCCACAUGCAAUUUUAUUGCGAUCAUCCACAUGGAAUCAAAAAUUAAAAGCUUGUUAUUGUAACACGUAAGAGUUAAUAUAUUUAGUAAUGUAUAUGUACUAUUCACUAUAUUUGAUUUGUUUUAAAAAAAUAACAAAAUUGAUUAAUAUUUCAAUAUAAGUAAGAGAAUGUUGCAUUAAAGUAUUUAUUAAAUUUAUUAUAUAUUGAAUUUUGUAAAAAUAAAAUAUUUGUAAUAUAACAAAUAUAUCAUCUGUAAAUAUUGUAUUACAUUAUAUUUUCCUUAAAUCGAUGUUAAUAUAUAUAUAUAUAUAUAUAUGAUAUACAUUGAUCGAAAUAUUAAUAUUAUAUUAGUACUCAAUAAUUAUUUAAAUAAAUAUAUAUUUUUUAAAAUUA